AAUAAGCGUGGCCUUGAGUUUUCAUGUCCAACUUUGAUCGUUUGUUUUAUUUAAAAAAAUUUAUGAUUAUUAUUUUUAUUAUUAUUAUAUUAUAAAACAUGAAUAGUAUUUUAUGCGAUAUUUAUGUUUUUUUAGUUUUUUUUAAAAAAAUUAAAUAAGACGGACGAUUAAACUUGGACACGGAAACUCAUGGCUGCGCUUAUU
Molecule: non-coding RNA, 204 nt
Organism: Oryza glumipatula
Lineage: Eukaryota; Viridiplantae; Streptophyta; Magnoliopsida; Poales; Poaceae
Source: Rfam